GACAUGCUCCUUAGAUCCAUCUCUGGGGAAAUGUCCAAGUCUGAAGCUGCUCUCCAUCUUUUAGAUGUUGUGUAGUUUCAGUCUGGCAGUUCCCAGCAGCUUUUUUGCUGUACAGUUGGAGGUGCUUGAGUCAUUGGCAUGUCAGAGCAGUCUACCUGCACCUCUAGCCCCACUGCUGCACUGGACCUUCUUAUGGAUGCCACCAGUGUAGCAAUGCUGGAGAGCAGACAAA
Molecule: small nucleolar RNA, 232 nt
Organism: Chanos chanos (milkfish)
Lineage: Eukaryota; Metazoa; Chordata; Actinopteri; Gonorynchiformes; Chanidae
Product: small nucleolar RNA SNORA53
Exons: 1
Source: RefSeq, a predicted model, not a curated record